CCAGCAAGCUCGAGCUCUCUCUGCCCGAGAGAGAGAAACCCGACGACCCGCAAGGCAAUCCGGCCACAACUCCGGCGUCCGGCCACCGAUCGACGACACAAGACCACCAAUCUCUUCCUCUCGUCGUCGCCGACACGCCUGUGGCCUCAGAUCGUCCAUGCACCCGACGAGAAAGAAGAAUCAACGGUGAGAAUGUUCGACUGCUCCAGCGAGUUUCUGCACAUUCCGGCGACCGAUUGGGCUGUGUGUGGUCUAGGCGAGCUAUUUUGAAGUUUGUUGGGUUAUUGACACCAAGGUCACCAGUUCGUCAUCAGUCCAGUUCCAGUAAGGGAUUCCGGGAAGACCGAGUUGGUUUUUGAAGGUAUAUACAGCCCUUGAAUCACAUUUUCCCUUCUGGUGAUAAUUGGAAGUUAAGCAACUAUGAUAGUUGGUUGAGAUUAUAAUCUGAUAUUGUGAUCUUGAAUCGGAAAUUUGGUCGAAUUGUGUAGUUUUGGUGGUUUGAAGAUAUGUUUAAACUAGGAGGACAGAUUGGAUGAGUUGUAGUGUUUUGAUUUGAAUGGAGUGUGAUUAUCGUGUUUGAUGC
Long non-coding RNA from Rosa rugosa (rugosa rose), 583 nucleotides. RefSeq lists it as uncharacterized. NCBI's taxonomy places the organism in Eukaryota, Viridiplantae, Streptophyta, Magnoliopsida, Rosales, Rosaceae. The record is from RefSeq and is a predicted model, not a curated record. The transcript has 2 exons.